Molecule: long non-coding RNA, 636 nt
Organism: Cottoperca gobio
Lineage: Eukaryota; Metazoa; Chordata; Actinopteri; Perciformes; Bovichtidae
Exons: 3
Source: RefSeq, a predicted model, not a curated record
GAGUUCCCACCGAGAGAUACAGAGCAGCCGAGGAUUUACAGGCACCGGAGCUGUCGUGCAUGCACCCAGAGAUGAGGAGAAAUUAAGGGGUGAAAAAAAGGCAGAUAUACACCGGGUCUGCUGAUGGAGACUUUAACUUAUUCCACUUUACACGCGUUCUGCAAGAAGAUGUGAAGGAAGAAAAAUGUGAAGAUUUCGAUCAGAAGAAGAAGCUGAAUGGAUCAUAAUCCAGGAUUUCUUUUAACACGCAAACUGCAGAGGAAAAGUUUUGCUGUGACUCUGCCUGUCUGGAGGCGAAGAACUGCAACACAUUCAGGAGUUCGCCAACAAACAAACGGAUGCAAUUAAACACACUCGCCUUCAGAUCAUCAAUGAGGAAGCAAAGUCAAGACUGGUGGAAAAACCGACAAGGGCAAAUGUAAGACGGGAGAAGACUGUGCUGCCUCAAGGUUAAACUUGAACUGCGUUAAGAGCCAUACUUCACACAAUGUGGAUAUUUUUUUGCAUCUUCUACAAACACACAUCACUCGCUGUUUUUUUAUAUUAAACAUCCUCAUUUUUACAACCUGAUAUAGCUGCUAAUUGAUGUUAUAUUUUGGUAUCUUUGCUAAAAGAAAAUGUUUCCUCUGUUUCUUC